AGUGAACGUUGGCGGCGUGGAUUAGGCAUGCAAGUCGAGCGAGAACCGUAGCAAUACGGGGACAGCGGCGAAAGGGACAGUAAUGUGUAGGUACCUACCCCCGGGUUCGGGAUAGCUGCGGGAAACUGCAGGUAAUACCGAAUAAUGUCUCCGGACCAAAGGUGUGAUUCCACCUGGGGAGGGGCCUGCAUCCUAUUAGCUUGUUGGUGGGGUAACGGCCUACCAAGGCGACGAUGGGUAGCGGGUGUGAGAGCAUGACCCGCGUCAUUGGGACUGAGACACUGCCCAGACACCUACGGGUGGCUGCAGUCGAGAAUCUUCGGCAAUGGGCGCAAGCCUGACCGAGCGACGCCGCGUGCGGGAUGAAGGCCUUCGGGUUGUAAACCGCUGUCGUAGAGGAGGAAAUGCAGGGGGGUUCUCCCCUUUGCUUGACCUAUUCUAGGAGGAAGUACGGGCUAAGUCCGUGCCAGCCGCCGCGGUAA
RNAcentral lists this ribosomal RNA (482 nucleotides) under uncultured bacterium. RNAcentral's name for it is "partial 16S ribosomal RNA". It matches the Rfam family "Bacterial small subunit ribosomal RNA", at positions 28 to 523 of the family's 1533-position model. The record is from RNAcentral.